RNAcentral lists this ribosomal RNA (449 nucleotides) under uncultured bacterium. RNAcentral's name for it is "partial 16S ribosomal RNA". It matches the Rfam family "Bacterial small subunit ribosomal RNA", at positions 338 to 795 of the family's 1533-position model. The record is from RNAcentral.
CCUACGGGAGGCUGCAGUGGGGAAUUUUGGACAAUGGGGGCAACCCUGAUCCAGCCAUGCCGCGUGAGUGAAGAAGGCCUUCGGGUUGUAAAGCUCUUUCGGCCGGGAAGAAAUCGCAUGGGUUAAUACCCUGUGCGGAUGACGGUACCGGCAUAAGAAGCACCGGCUAACUACGUGCCAGCAGCCGCGGUAAUACGUAGGGUGCGAGCGUUAAUCGGAAUUACUGGGCGUAAAGCGUGAGCAGGCGGUUAAAUCCCCGGGCUCAACCUGGGAACUGCGCUUGUGACUGCAAGGCUAGAGUAUGGCAGAGGGGGGUGGAAUUCCACGUGUAGCAGUGAAAUGCGUAGAGAUGUGGAGGAACACCAAUGGCGAAGGCAGCCCCCUGGGCCAAUACUGACGCUCAUGCACGAAAGCGUGGGUAGCAAACAGGAUUAGAUACCCGGGUAGUC